CCUACGGGAGGCAGCAGUGGGGAAUAUUGCACAAUGGGCGCAAGCCUGAUGCAGCGACGCCGCGUGAGGGAUGACGGCCUUCGGGUUGUAAACCUCUGUUAGCAUCGAAGAAGCGAAAGUGACGGUAGGUGCAGAGAAAGCGCCGGCUAACUACGUGCCAGCAGCCGCGGUAAUACGUAGGGCGCGAGCGUUGUCCGGAAUUAUUGGGCGUAAAGAGCUUGUAGGCGGUUGGUCGCGUCUGCUGUGAAAGGCUGGGGCUUAACCCUGGUUUUGCAGUGGGUACGGGCUAACUAGAGUGCAGUAGGGGAGACUGGAAUUCCUGGUGUAGCGGUGGAAUGCGCAGAUAUCAGGAGGAACACCGAUGGCGAAGGCAGGUCUCUGGGCUGUAACUGACGCUGAGAAGCGAAAGCAUGGGGAGCGAACAGGAUUAGAUACCCUUGUAGUC
This 445-nucleotide ribosomal RNA is filed under the name uncultured Rothia sp. Its description in RNAcentral is "bacterial SSU rRNA". It matches the Rfam family "Bacterial small subunit ribosomal RNA", at positions 338 to 795 of the family's 1533-position model. The record is from RNAcentral. Lineage: Bacteria; Bacillati; Actinomycetota; Actinomycetes; Micrococcales; Micrococcaceae.